CCUACGGGAGGCAGCAGUGGGGAAUAUUGCGCAAUGGGCGAAAGCCUGACGCAGCGACGCCGCGUGAGGGAUGAAGGUCUUCGGAUCGUAAACCCCUGUCAGCAGGGAAGAACGGUCACUGUGCUAAUCAGCAGUGAAUUGCCGGUACCUGCAAAGGAAGCACCGGCUAACUCCGUGCCAGCAGCCGAGGUAAUACGGAGGGUGCGAGAGUUUAACGGAAUUACGGGGCGUAAAGCGCGAGUAGGCGGUAUGUCAAGUCAAGGGUGAAAUCCCCUCGCUCAACGUGGGAACUGCCUUUGAAACUGGCAAACUGGAGUGUGUGAGAGGAUAGUGGAAUUCCUGGUGUAGGAGUGAAAUCCGUAGAUAUCUGGAGGAACAUCAGUUGCGAAGGCGACUAUCUGGCACAUAACUGACGCUGAGGAGCGAAAGCGUGGGUAGCAAACAGGAUUAGAUACCCGGGUAGUC
Molecule: ribosomal RNA, 465 nt
Filed under: uncultured bacterium
Lineage: Bacteria
Description: partial 16S ribosomal RNA
Rfam family: Bacterial small subunit ribosomal RNA
Source: RNAcentral